GGUUUCUGGAGGAAGGUUCGUCCGCUCCAGGUUAGUCGGGAGCUAAGGUGAGGCCGGAAGGCGUAGCCGAUGCACAGACGGUAGAGAUUCCGUCACCACCAAAAGAGUUAAGCACAGGGACACAUAUGAAGUCUCAGAGCCGGGUGUUGGUUCCGGUAGAGAUCGAGGGAAAUUAGUACCGAAGUCUGAGAUGGAAGAUGGCGAGAAAAGCUGUGUGUAUUUCUGAGGUGCCCGUACCGCAAACCGACACAGGUAGGUAGGAAGAAGAUUCUAAGGCCAACGGGAGAAGGGUUGUUAAGGAACUCGGCAAAUUGACCCCGUAACUUCGGGAGAAGGGGUGCUCCAGAGAUGGAGCCGCAGAGAAUCGGCCCAAGCAACUGUUUACCAAAAACACAGGUUUGUGCUAAAUCGAAAGAUGACGUAUACGAGCUGACGCCUGCCCGGUGCUGGAAGGUUAAGAGGAGAUGUGCAAGCAUUGAAUCGAAGCCCCAGUGAACGGCGGCCGUAACUAUAACGGUCCUAAGGUAGCGAAAUUCCUUGUCAGGUAAGUUCUGACCCGCAUGAAAGGCGUAAUGAUUUGGGCACUGUCUCAACAGCCCGCCCGGCGAAAUUGUAGUACCGGUGAAGAUGCCGGUUACCCGCGACAAGACGGAAAGACCCCAUGGAGCUUUACUGUAGCCUAAUAUUGGGUUUCGAUGUUGCAUGCACAGGAUAGAUGGGACUCUGGGAAACCAAGGCUUUGGCUUUGGCGGAGAGGCCGUUGGGAUACCAUCCUUGCGAUAUUGGAAUUCUAACCUGCGGCUCUGAAUCGAGUCGGGGGACAUUGUUAGGUGGGCAGUUUGACUGGGGCGGUCGCCUCCUAAAGAGUAACGGAGGCGUUCAAAGGUUCGCUCAGCUUGAACGGAAAUCAAGCAAAAGAGUGCAAACGCAGAAGCGAGCCUAACUGCGAGACUGACGGGUCGAGCAGUAACGAAAGUUGGAGUUAGUGAUCCGGUGGUAUGUGAGUGGAAAUGCCAUCGCUCAACGGAUAAAAGUUACCCUGGGGAUAACAGGCUGAUCUCCCCCAAGAGUCCACAUCGACGGGGAGGUUUGGCACCUCGAUGUCGGCUCAUCGCAUCCUGGGGCUGUAUUCGGUCCCAAGGGUUUGGCUGUUCGCCAAUUAAAGCGGUACGCGAGCUGGGUUCAGAACGUCGUGAGACAGUUCGGUCCCUAUCUGUCGUGGGCGCAGGAUAUUUGAUGGGAGCUGUCCCUAGUACGAGAGGACCGGGACGGACGUACCUCUGGCGCACCAGUUGUUCCGCCAGGAGCAUAGCUGGGCAACUACGUACGGAUCGGAUAAACGCUGAAAGCAUCUAAGCGUGAAGCCGACCCAAAGAUAAGAUAUCCCACUGAUUGAAUCAGGUAAGAUCCCUUGUAGACUACGAGGUUGAUAGGCACGAUGUGUAAGUGGAGCGAUCCAUUCAGCAAGUGUGUACUAAUAGAUCGAGGGCUUGACCAC
This 1498-nucleotide ribosomal RNA is filed under the name human gut metagenome. RNAcentral's name for it is "bacterial LSU rRNA". It matches the Rfam family "Bacterial large subunit ribosomal RNA", at positions 1349 to 2925 of the family's 2925-position model. The record is from RNAcentral.